UCUAGGUUGCGUAUCGUGAGCUAAUGCUUGUGCCUCAUCCGUUUUCCCAACAACAAAAUUUAUAUCAUAUGUACGUAAUCUGGCAGCCAAUGUCUUAACACCGUCUUUUGAAUUUAUUGUUAAUUCUCUUCUAGUACAUUACUCCCGUAGCGCAUCUAAUUGCCAGUCAUUAUAGUCAGUCAUCCUGACACUACAAUUUACUAAUAACACUUCGCAGCCUUGAUUAUCCCACCACUGCCACCAAUUGUGACGAUUUCUAUCGCCGACGUGGGCGCUGCAGUUCACAAUUACCUAAGUCAAUAAAACCCAAUGUACUACAAUUAACAUAAAAGUUAAUUCUGUAAUUACUAAGAGUUAUCUACAUGUAAUUUCCUAAAGUAUUUUUUUAACAAACCCGAGUCCAACAGACUGUAGCUCUUUCUUCAGCUAGCCCACAGCGCUUAAUAUUCCGCGUAGUAUCAAACACAUAACAGCGUCGUAUCUUGUUUGUUUAGAAUUUUAGCGGCUGUGUCUUAUAAACAAAAUCGUGACCAAACUUGCUGACAACCUGAACAUUCUUAAAUCGCUUCGAAGUGGUUUUCUGUCGAUCUCAAAUGAACUUGGGCGUAUAUAGUCAGACAACUUCAGUAUACUUCCAACAAAAGCAAGAUGUCUUUCCAAGUUGUUCUUCUCCUGAAGGUCUUCGUCGGUUUUUAAAUGUUUAGGAACACCUUCCUUGCUUGUCCUGUUUUUUCUCUGCUCGCUUCAAACUCUGGGCUCCUUAC
Molecule: non-coding RNA, 764 nt
Organism: Paramuricea clavata
Lineage: Eukaryota; Metazoa; Cnidaria; Anthozoa; Malacalcyonacea; Plexauridae
Source: the annotation of a GenBank genome assembly